Molecule: ribosomal RNA, 774 nt
Filed under: uncultured Neocallimastigales
Lineage: Eukaryota; Fungi; Neocallimastigomycota; Neocallimastigomycetes; Neocallimastigales
Description: partial large subunit ribosomal RNA
Rfam family: Eukaryotic large subunit ribosomal RNA
Source: RNAcentral
ACACGCAUGACACACUGCAUAUCAAUAAGCGGAGGAAAAGAAACUAACAAGGAUUCCCUUAGUAACGGCGAGUGAAGCGGGAAGGGCUCAAAUUUGAAAUCUUCAAGGUUUUACCUUGACGAAUUGUAGUUUAAAGAAGUGUUUUCUGUUGAAGUUUUGGUAAAAGUUCUUUGGAAUAGGACAUCAUAGAGGGUGAGAAUCCCGUAUUUGACCAUUAUUUUCAGCUGUGUGAUACACUUUCAAAGAGUCGGAUUGUUUGGGAAUGCAGUCCAAAAUGGGUGGUAAAUUUCAUCUAAAGCUAAAUAUUGGCGAGAGACCGAUAGCGAACAAGUACCGUGAGGGAAAGAUGAAAAGAACUUUGAAAAGAGAGUUAAACAGUACGUGAAAUUGCCAAAAGGGAAGCGUUUGACACCAGUGUUGUUUUCUCGAAAAUCAAUUAAAAAAAGUUGGAUUUUGUGUUGUAUUGACCUUAACAGCUUUCUUCACUCUUUUCCUGCUUUUUUUAAUGCACUUUUCGUUUAACAAGUCAACAUCAGUUUCUUUUGUUGUAAAAGAGUCAUUGGAAGGUGGCUUUUCUUUCGGAGAAAGUGUUUAUAGCCUUUGACUUCUGCAGUCGGAGAGAUUGAGGUCUGCAGCGUAGAUCCUUCGGGGUUAGAUACAUUUGUGCUAAGCUAUAGUUCUUUAUAGACAACUUGUUGACUAUGAUCAGUCCUGUAGCUUACUCGCUUAUGCUAUUUUACCUACGCUUAGGAUGUUGAGCGCAUGUCUCUCUCU